RNAcentral lists this ribosomal RNA (263 nucleotides) under uncultured bacterium. RNAcentral describes it as "partial 16S ribosomal RNA". It matches the Rfam family "Bacterial small subunit ribosomal RNA", at positions 793 to 1055 of the family's 1533-position model. The record is from RNAcentral.
GUCCACGCCCUAAACGAUGUCUACUAGUUGUUGGGGUAGCAAUACCUCAGUGACGCAGCUAACGCGUGAAGUAGACCGCCUGGGGAGUACGGUCGCAAGAUUAAAACUCAAAGGAAUUGACGGGGCCCGCACAAGCGGUGGAUUAUGUGGAUUAAUUCGAUGCAACGCGAAAACCUUACCUGGCCUUGACAUGCCACUAACGAAGCAGAGAUGCAUUAGGUGCCCGAAAGGGAAAGUGGACACAGGUGCUGCAUGGCUGUCGU